This 674-nucleotide long non-coding RNA is filed under the name Pan troglodytes (chimpanzee). RNAcentral describes it as "long non-coding RNA NONPTRT005745". Lineage: Eukaryota; Metazoa; Chordata; Mammalia; Primates; Hominidae. The record is from RNAcentral.
AUUUUGUGUCUUCUUGGUGGUCAUUCUGUCCCUCCUGGACAGCCUCAUGCCUGACUGGACACUGAAAAAGAGGUGAAGAGAUAAGAGGCGAUAGAACAAAAGAACAGAAAGAUAAUGAAGCUGAGACUAAACAGGUUUCUAAGACAGCCACCGAUGGGUCCUACCUCCUCGUAUUCACAUCCUAUGUAAUCUCCUCCCCAGUGUGGGCUGGACCUGGUGACUUGCUUCCAGUGAAUAGAAUACAGCAAAAGUGAUUGAUGUCACCUCCAAGAUUCAGCUAUAGAAGACUAUGACUAUGACUUCCCUCUUGGCUAGCAUUCUCACUAACCCUUCCUGCUUGCUUGUACUGAGCUGCCCUAUGAAGAGGCCCAUGUAGGGUGGCCUGGGUGGGGGUGAUCUGUGGCCAACAGCCAGCAAGGAACUAAAUCCUGUUUACAACCACAUGAGCUUGGAAGGAGAUCCUUCCCCAGUAAAGCCAGGAGAUGAAUACAGCCCCAGCCUCCAGCUUCAUUGCAGCAUCGUGAGACACCCACAAGGAGGACUCAGCUAAGCCACAGCCAGAAUUCUGUCCCACAGAACUUCAAGACAACUAGUGCUGUUGCUUUUCAGCUGCAGAGUUUUGACAUAAUUUGUUGUAUAGCAAUAGCCAGCUAGUUAUCAAUAACCACUAUUGC